This 441-nucleotide ribosomal RNA is filed under the name uncultured bacterium. Its description in RNAcentral is "bacterial SSU rRNA". It matches the Rfam family "Bacterial small subunit ribosomal RNA", at positions 8 to 449 of the family's 1533-position model. The record is from RNAcentral.
AGAGUUUGAUCCUGGCUCAGGACGAACGCUGGCGGCGUGCUUAACACAUGCAAGUCGAACGGUAAGGCCCUUUCGGGGGUACACGAGUGGCGAACGGGUGAGUAACACGUGGGUGAUCUGCCCUGCACUUUGGGAUAAGCCUGGGAAACUGGGUCUAAUACCGAAUACACCCUGCUGGUCGCAUGGCCUGGUGGGGGAAAGCUUUUGCGGUGUGGGAUGGGCCCGCGGCCUAUCAGCUUGUUGGUGGGGUGAUGGCCUACCAAGGCGACGACGGGUAGCCGGCCUGAGAGGGUGUCCGGCCACACUGGGACUGAGAUACGGCCCAGACUCCUACGGGAGGCAGCAGUGGGGAAUAUUGCACAAUGGGCGCAAGCCUGAUGCAGCGACGCCGCGUGAGGGAUGACGGCCUUCGGGUUGUAAACCUCUUUCAGCAGGGACGAA